This 301-nucleotide ribosomal RNA is filed under the name uncultured bacterium. Its description in RNAcentral is "partial 16S ribosomal RNA". It matches the Rfam family "Bacterial small subunit ribosomal RNA", at positions 509 to 808 of the family's 1533-position model. The record is from RNAcentral.
CAGCAGCCACGGUAAUACGUAGGUCCCGAGCGUUGCCCGGAUUUAUUGGGCGUAAAGCGAGCGCAGGCGGUUAGAUAAGUCUGAAGUUAAAGGCUGUGGCUUAACCAUAGUACGCUUUGGAAACUGUUUAACUUGAGUGCAAGAGGGGAGAGUGGAAUUCCAUGUGUAGCGGUGAAAUGCGUAGAUAUAUGGAGGAACACCGGUGGCGAAAGCGGCUCUCUGGCUUGUAACUGACGCUGAGGCUCGAAAGCGUGGGGAGCAAACAGGAUUAGAUACCCCGGUAGUCCCUGUCUCUUAUACA